RNAcentral lists this ribosomal RNA (603 nucleotides) under uncultured bacterium. Its description in RNAcentral is "bacterial SSU rRNA". It matches the Rfam family "Bacterial small subunit ribosomal RNA", at positions 886 to 1493 of the family's 1533-position model. The record is from RNAcentral.
UCGCAAGAUUAAAACUCAAAGGAAUUGACGGGGACCCGCACAAGCGGUGGAUGAUGUGGAUUAAUUCGAUGCAACGCGAAAAACCUUACCUACCCUUGACAUGUCUGGAAUGCCGAAGAGAUUUGGCAGUGCUCGCAAGAGAACCAGAACACAGGUGCUGCAUGGCUGUCGUCAGCUCGUGUCGUGAGAUGUUGGGUUAAGUCCCGCAACGAGCGCAACCCUUGUCAUUAGUUGCUACGCAAGAGCACUCUAAUGAGACUGCCGGUGACAAACCGGAGGAAGGUGGGGAUGACGUCAAGUCCUCAUGGCCCUUAUGGGUAGGGCUUCACACGUCAUACAAUGGUCGGGACAGAGGGUCGCCAACCCGCGAGGGGGAGCCAAUCUCAGAAACCCGAUCGUAGUCCGGAUCGCAGUCUGCAACUCGACUGCGUGAAGUCGGAAUCGCUAGUAAUCGCGGAUCAGAAUGUCGCGGUGAAUACGUUCCCGGGUCUUGUACACACCGCCCGUCACACCAUGGGAGUGGGUUUCACCAGAAGUAGGUAGCCUAACCGUAAGGAGGGCGCUUACCACGGUGGGAUUCAUGACUGGGGUGAAGUCGUAACG